Rhincodon typus (whale shark) is the source of this 290-nucleotide long non-coding RNA. RefSeq lists it as uncharacterized. The transcript is spliced from 3 exons. NCBI's taxonomy places the organism in Eukaryota, Metazoa, Chordata, Chondrichthyes, Orectolobiformes, Rhincodontidae. The record is from RefSeq and is a predicted model, not a curated record.
CAGCUAUUGGAAGUCACACAACACUAAUGGAUCUCGGAGGCUAAGAAAGAAAAGAUUACGGCUAUGGUCCUCUGCAAGAACAUCUUAUAGAUUCUGGCCUAGAAGUCUAUUUCUUUGUUGGCACUGAUGCGCUUCUACUUUCUGAUGGGGUUCCGGAGAUGUUCUUGCUUGCAGAGGGGAAGACUGAAGCCGAAACAAGUAUGGGCCUGAUAUCAUGACCUACAGAAGCGGGAGCAUGCGACACAAUCCCUCAACCCAAAUGUUGAAACGGCAUCAUUGAUCUUAGAGAG